Molecule: transfer RNA, 89 nt
Filed under: Laccaria bicolor S238N-H82
Lineage: Eukaryota; Fungi; Basidiomycota; Agaricomycetes; Agaricales; Hydnangiaceae
Rfam family: tRNA
About the family: Transfer RNA (tRNA) molecules are approximately 80 nucleotides in length.
Source: Rfam by way of RNAcentral
GGCGCUGUAGUGUAGCGGUUAUCACUCAAGAUUCUGAUUACUAGGAUGAUUGAAUUCUUGGAACCCAGGUUCGAUUCCUGGCAGCGCCU